CGUGGGCGGGCGGUGGCCGCGGCGCUGCCACCGCGCUGCGGGAGGCGGGGAACGAGCGGUCACCGCCAUGGGAGCGGAGCAGAGCGCCGAGGCCGAGAGCCGCCCGGGCGAGCCCAGCGCCGCAGCCAAGCAACGCGCAAAAAUGGACGACAUUGUGGUGGUAGCCCCAGGAACACAAUCCUCACGGAAUGUCAGCAAUGAUCCAGAUGUCAUAAAACUGCAGGAAAUUCCAACUUUCCAGCCCCUUUUGAAAGGACUCCUCAGUGGGCAGACCUCUCCAACCAACACCAAGCUAGAAAAGCUGGACCCCCAGCAGGUGCUGCAGCUGUGUCUCCGGUACCAGGAUCACCUUCACCAGUGCGCAGAAGCCGUCGCCUUCGAUCAAAACGCGCUUGUGAAGCGGAUUAAGGAGACUUAUCAAGUGACUGAUGUUUUAACUUCCCUACAAACUGUUGGUGAGCUUCAGUCCCUGAUACCCUACCAUUUGUCUGAGAUGGACCUCUCUGUGGAAACUCUUUACAGCUUCAUGCAGGAGCGCCAGAAGAAGUAUGCCAAGUAUGCGGAGCAGAUCCAGAAGGUCAAUGAGAUGUCUGCCAUCCUUCGCCGUAUCCAGAUGGGCAUCGACCAGACGAUCCCGCUGAUGGAGCGGCUGAACAGCAUGCUGCCGGAGAGCGAGAGGCUGGAGCCCUUCAGCAUGAAACCUGACCGGGAGCUGAAGUCCUAGCUGACCCGGCAGGCUGCCCCUCCUCAUCUUCCAUGCUCCAGUGUUCAGCACAGACACGCUUCCAACAGGCUGGAUUGGCAGAUGUUUGAAGCAGACAGCAGUGCUGCCUGACUCUGCCAGGGCAUCGGAGGAAGAACGUCAUCAUCUGCCAGAACUGCACAGCCAGGAAUCCAGGAGCUCCCCUGUCCUGUCGUCUGGAGAAGAGGAUUUACAUUUCUUUCAUCCCCCUCCUCUUGCCCUCCUGUCUCCUUUACCACUACUACUGCCUGUGCAGAGACAUUUGUUUCAUUGCUGUUGGGGUUUACAGAGGAGGAAUUUUCUUUCAUCUGAAGUUUUGUUUUUUACUAAAAAAAUUCAAAGGGAUACAGGGUGUGACGAACCUUCUGACAUGAUUUUUGUGCCACUGGGGUUUAGACGAUCAGAUGUCUGGAAGGUAUUUCUGACAUCCCCUGGCCUUGGAAAUAUGUGUGUUUUAUAGGUGAAAGUUGCACCACUUCUUGCCGUGACAUAUGUGGACAGUGCUGAGCUUUGCUUUGUACCCAGAACCCACCUUCGUGCUGUGGACAUGGCUGGUCUCACUUGCCCUGGGGCUGCCUCUGCCCUGGGACUGUAAGGAAACAUAUCCCAGAGUGAAAAUAAAUGUUGGGUUUUCUUCCAGUACGACCCCAAUUCUGGUUGGCACUGAUGUCCAGUUUAAAUACGUGAUGUGAGCGGCAAUGCUUGGGACUCACCAGCAGUGGGGUGGGACUGUAGUUCAGCUGGCUGCCUACCUUUUCUGUGCUGGCAAACUCAUGGAGGUGAUGAGGAUCUGAGGAUCAAGGACUCAAGACUUGUGUAAGACUGCGGUUUCCCUGUGCAAAGCACUGGCAGUGUGAGACCACUGCCUGUUUUGUUAGGGCACUUGCACUGUGUGUGCACCCAACGGCUUUCCCAGGCCUGAGUGGGAAGAAUAAACAUGAGCAUGUUUCUUUUAUUCUUUCCUCCCACACAUAUCUUCCUGUCACAUAGAGACCAUGUCCUGACAGAUGCUUUACAUCAGUUCUUCGCCAGAUCACAGAAGGAGCUGGAGCUGGGCAUCCUUGGACAGGCUGACUUCCAGGCUGGCCUCUGCCCUGCUGGCUGCUCAUCUCCUCCUCCCAGUUCCUUGCACUUCACUGAAUGGGUCAGACUCUGCUUUUAGCGCAAGUUUAGCCUCUUUCAGCUGGUCUGUGAUCCUUCUGUGGGGGCUGCUGGCUUGCUUUUAGCUACCACAGUUAGGUUUUAACUUCUUCAAUACGUGAGCCUGCACGGGACAGCCUGAUCCACAGGAACCCUGAGAUUAGCUCUGUUGGUUAGAACGUGGUAAUAAUGACAAAGUUAUGGGUUUGAUCACUGUAUGGGCCAUUCACUUAUGAGUUGGACUUGAUGAUCCUUGUUGGUCCCUUCCAACUCAAUAUUCUGUGAUUCUGAUUCUGUGAAGGAGAACUGCUCACCCAGCAGUCCCCAAAGCCAGGGCAGGUCUGAGGUGGUGAUGGAUGGGCUCCGUCUGAUGCAGGUUUCUGUGUAAGAGUUGCUACAUGUUGUUUGUAGAAAAUAAGCACAGAAACUCACAUAGGUUGUUACUUGUGCUCUGGCUGAUGGUUUGGUUUCUUUUAGGGAGGCUAAGAAUUCUGCAUUUCCCUCUCUGGGAUUAUACUUUGAAAUUCUCUUUUUAAGAAAAGAAAAACCUUCUGCUACUGCUCCUGAGUUUGAAGAUGCUGUUACACAAACAUUAUAGUUUGUAUGAGCUAUUCUCUGAAGCAGCAAUGAGGGGCGUACUCCAAUCUCAGCAAGCAGAACUUGCUCUGCAUGCUUCAAGACUGACAGAAUCAGUCAAAACAAGUAUUUAAACAAGUAAUUACAUUAAUCUUCAAAUAAGAAGUAUGGGAGGCAAAAAAACAAACAAACCAGGGGGAUCAUUCUAGGUAACAAUCCAUUUGAAAUACUUGCUUCAACAAGACUAACACAGCUGCCUGAGGAACAGGUUACUCACAGCUGUAUUAGACAUUGUUAAUGUGUUAAAUGCAGAGAAGUGCCACUGUUGCUCUUCAAGGAAGCAGAAGAGGUGGGGUAUUCAGGAACAGGUAAGAGGCCUAAAUGGUUACUGGUGCUAUAAAAUCGUGGCUGCUUGUGACAAGUGGUGCAAAGCUGCUCAAGCCAUGUAAUUUAUGAGCAGGCACAGCUGCAGAGAAGGGUAUGUAUGAUAAAGGACAAGCCCCCUGCUCGUCCUGCCUACUCAGGAGCAGGUUGUACUGCAGGUAGGUAAUGCACACUCCACAACUCCUUCCUCAGCCCUUCUAUAUAAACAGGUACCAUUUCUGAUUUUAUUUCAUCAUACAUACAGGUAAUUCUCAUGACACAAAAAGAUGAGAAACUUACAUCUCUCUGAACCAUUUGAAUAGCUUGCCAUAAACCAAAUAUGCCAAGUAUGCCAUACACCAGUGGCCAUAGAUUAUAUUCAUAUUGAACAUGUACACAUUUACCCUCUCACAUCCUCCACUUUGCCUUCCAGACUUCUACAAACCAUUUCCAGUAUUGUUCAGGGACAGGACUCUAGUUCAGAUAGGAGCCAGGGCACCACUCUGUGCGGGACAUGGGGUUAAGGCUUCCUCCUAUGGGGACUUAUCCCCUGAAAAUACCAAGCCUACAGCUUUGAUUCAUUCAGGGACUAGAAUGUACUGGAAAUCACAAGGAGCCACAAGACCAGAUUUCAGUUCCUCAGAGGGCAAUCAAGCAAGCAAACCCCAAACAUAGGAGAAGACCCAAAACCCAAACAUAGAGAAGGGGGGAACACACGUCUGAAGGAGCACAAAAGACAGGAAGAAUCUGCUUCUGUCUUCAUGAAUUAAUAUGUGUUAACCCCCAUUAACUGGUUUAAAUCACAGACAUGGGCUUUUCCUGGAGGAAGCACUGUUAAACUGUUUACAUAGGUAUAUACACACAGAGUAUGUGUAUAUAUAUGCUGAAAAGAGUUGUAAUGUAAUUGUUUUCACCUGAUAUAUAAACAGAGACAAGUGUUUAAUGAACCCCUGAUAUGUGUGAUGUCAACCUGUCCCUUGCCUGGGCUACCUCUUCUUCCAAUAUCUCGUACACACAGCCCAGAGCCUCCUGGUGCUGUCUCUCUCUGUGCCUUUUGCACUUUUUAGGAUCAAGUUAAUCAAUGCUGUAGCUUUCAGUGCUAUUUUCAACAGUCCACUGUAGGAAAUUAAAGUCACAUCCUAGUCACAAAACAUAUCAAUGACAAAAUCUUCUCCACUUUUCAAUAUAGUAAAACCUGAGAUUUGAGUCACAAACUAGCUAAACUUACAGUAAAAAAAAACCCUAAAAUAACCCAAGCUGCUCACUUGAAUUAGGGCUUCAGGUUGCUGCUGACAAAUUUUUUUUUAAAGCUGUUGGCCAGGGUUUAAGUGUUUGUUACAUGUGAUGUACAAUUUUCAGCUGCCUGCACUGAAAUGGGACAAAAAAAAAUAUAGUUUCCCCUCAAUACACAUUUUCUGAGGGGAAGCUGAGAAAGACCGAGGUAAGACACGUGCAGCUUCCCUCAGAGCAUGAAGGAUGAAGCUUUAACCAGUGCCUCUGGUACCACCCCUCACUGACCACAAAUCUCUUGCAGCAACGUGGGCACGUGAACCAACGUGAGCAGGGCAACCCAGCUACCACAGGAAUGGGAGCUGGAGGGGAAGCAGCUGGGUUGCUGUCAAAAACAACAUGAGAAGGGCUGUGCCUAAUCUUCAGUGAAACACCCCCUUGGCAGCAGGGAUGUGGCACCUCCUCACGUUGGUAUCUUCUCUGGAGUGAUGAGGGAGGACACGGUACAGCCUUGAGCAUCUGCAGACAAAUCACACACCAGCAUGCUGGGAAACCAAGACCCUACACUGGGACAGAGCAAUGGCCAGGAUCGAGUUCCUCUGAAGCUGUAAGUGUGGGAGGGGAGUGGCUUCCCUUAAUGGAAAGCCAUCCCUUCUCAAACCCCCUUUCCUUCACACACACUAUGAGAUGGGACACUGGAGCCCCCUUCUGUUUUCCUUGGGCAGCCAGCCAGACUUCCCUUUAUCUGAUGAAGUCAGCAAAACUAAUGAGAAGCCAGUCUCAAUCCAUGUUGGAAUGGAAUAAAACCCAACCACCUGCAUUGCCCCCACCCCAUGUAGGACUGGGACCAUAAAUGAAGAGCAGUUCCUCAGUGGUACUGCUCAGUUAAGGAUAAAAGCCUACUCCAUUUUUAUCUUAAAACCCACAAAGAAUCCCCAAACAAAACAAAACCAAACCAAACCAAAAAACCCCAAACCAAAAAAGCCUUCAAGAGCCUCCUAUUGAAUUAUUAACUGGCAAGAAAAGCAUGUUGUGGCCACUUGUAGCAGCCGCUUCUCUUGCAUGUAACCCUACCUAUCAACCACUCCAUUACAGCUUAGAAGCCAAAGCAACUACCCCUCUCCCAGAAGCCAGCUUAAUAUAAAAAAUAAGAAUACUGUAUCAAAAGACUGGAGGAAACAGUCCUAAGUAUGGUUCAUUCAUCUUCUUUUAGACAUUGCUGCUCAGCCAAUUGAAACACUUGUGCGUAGACAGCUUUAAAAAAAAAAAAAAUCAAAUGUGGCUAGUUGUUACUUGUUCACAUUGCUGAUGAACUGACUACCAGCAUGUGGCAGCCAUAAAGCCCUAGUUUAUUUUUUAUAUUUUUGAGGUACUGCUUUUUUUUCUCUGAAGCAGCUCUCUAGCAAAUCACUUAAAGCCUAUCCAUUAGAACAAUAGUUACACCAGUAUUUACAUUUGUCUAAAAUGUGUGUUCAGACAAGCUUUGCUGUAACCAUUCCCUAUGUCCUUUGGAAUUGCUCCCAGUCUCCUUUCUUACAGAAAAAAGGUCUCCCUCCAGAGGUUGGCUCAGUGUCAGGGCUAAGGUGCACUGGUGAACAUAUGGGGCAUGAGGAGGGGAGAACAAAACAAGUAGGAACGUGUUUCAGUGAAACCAGAGCAAGGUUGAUGCCAAGAGAGCUUCCUUUAUAAAACCCACUGAAACGCUGUGCAAUCCAUUGCAUACAAUUGCUUCCUCUAUCAGGGAAAGACCUUUGAAGUGUUCUGCCCUUCUUCAGGAGAGGAGAGGAGAAAAACCCAGCAGUACAUCUGGUGUCCUCGGGCAGACGCUCGCCCGUCAUUUCUUUGCGGCACUAACCUUUUGCUGCAUUCACACUGAAGCCUCAAGGUUCUUCCCUCCCCCCACCUUUUUACACACAGUUUUCAGAUUUACAGGGAUCUCUCAAAUGGUGGGGGAGCAGCCUGGAGAGGGAAGCAACUCUGAUACAGUCACACAUGCCUGCUGCCCCUCAGGACACUUCAAUGAUUUCCAUGCUGCCUGAAAAACUUGACUGACUGCCUACUUUUCCCAGUUCUUCUCUGGAUCUAUUGUCUGACAUGAUGCUCUCCCCAAACUCCAUCUGGCAGCUUCUGCGCUUAAACUGCUUUUCAAAAGAGCUUUCCUCGUGCCAGCUCCUCCUGGAGUCCCCUCGGUCCCCCUGCUUUGCCCUCCUGCGCACGGCGCAGGCCUGCUCGCAGCCCGUGGGUAGCUGGCUGCAGCUGUAGGCAGAGUAAGCGGCGCUGUUCCCGUAGAUGGCUGAGGCAGAGUAGAAAUGUGAGGACUCGGCUGCAAAAUACCAGCUGUUGGUCAGGGAUGUAGCCGAUGACUGAGGAGCUAAGAUGUCCGAGUGCCAGCCUUUGAGGCCCAGCCCAGCAGCAGACUUUGCCAAAUGCUGCUGGCUGGUGGAGAGACCAAACAAGAAGUUCGUUCGGUAGUUGUCUUCCAUGCUCCCACUCCGGUGGAGGGGGUACAGGAGUGACCGCUGAGUGGUGGCACUGCCACUGGCUCUCCCCAGAUGUUGCCGUUUGCCCUGGCUGUCCAGCUGCCACGUGUUCUGGGAUUUUUUGGGAGGGUUUGCUUCCUCUUUGUCAGGGCUGGUUUCUGGGGUCUGCUCCGACACCUCCUGGACAGGGGAGAACUGACACAACUUGCUGCUACCCUCUAAAGCAGUUGCAUGUUUGUAGUAUUCCAGGGUGUCUUCAGAGGAGGCAAAGCCCUGAACUGACGCAGUCACACAGUUGCUACUUGAUGAGUAGGACACAGAUUUGAUAUCCAAAGAAAAAGAGCGCUUCAGCCGGUUGCUGUCUUCCACCUUAUCCAGGGAGACAUGCAGUCCAUUUAUGCCCUGCACCAGUGGGCCAUCUUCCAGAGGGGACAGAUGCCCGCGUGGGGCACUGCCACAGUCCAUGGGUUUCUGUUCCACAAUCUCGGAGGUAGCAGUGAUGCAGAGCUGCUUCACGGAGAGGCUGCUCUGCCCUCCUUCCGGGACCUGCACGUGCUCGCUGCUUUUUUCCAAAUGCAGAAGUUUCAACUUACUAAUAUGUCCAGGCUGACCGGUCUGGUUUUUUAUCUUUUUCUCAAAGUCCAAAAGCUGGCCCAGGAAAUUGAAGUUGGGAGAAAUAGUUGGCCUCUUUUCUUUCACAAAUCUGGUAAGAAGGGACAAAAACCCAAGAAUUACUUAAAGAACCUGUUGCUCAGACCUAAGAUAACCCUCAAGUGAAUGUUGUGCAUGUCUACAGCCUAUUCUUAACUUAGCUUGGACUAGGGUUCAGUCAAGCACAAGUAACUUCAGGAUGGAGUUAAAAAAGGCAGUUUUAAGCAAAAUAAUGCUGGAUGCUGUCAAUUGUCUCUAUAGCUUACUUAAAGGUGGCUAAAAAGUGGGUGGGGAAGAAAGCAUUUUUUUAACUCUUCAUGAUGUCCACAAGUGAUUUGAGUGCAUCAUUUUCCUUAUUUACUUCAUCAGUGGGAUCUUUGCUACCUUGGUUUCUGACUGGAGUUAAGAGCUCCUCAAGUUUUGCAUGAACAACAUUUGAGCUGUAGCCAAGAGACUGUCUCCCAUGUGCUACAGAGAGUGGACACCUUCCCCAUCAUUCCAAGGGAUGACAUCACAUAUUCCUUUCACCUCUCUCAUGCUGUUGUUGUUACUGCAGUGAGCACUUCCUACCCUGUUUAUCAUUGUCAGGCAAGACAAAGAGCCAUGAUAGAUUUUGACCUUAUCCAGCAAGUUCCAGCAAUUCCUACCCCACACUGGUAUUGACCACUGAUAUGAUAAUCCAAAAGAAAAACAGGUGCAAAUGCAGCAUUAAACCAAAGAACAUUCUCUCAAGUCCUGUAGGUGUUCAGCAGUAAAGGGCAACAGGAUUGCCAAAUCCCUAGAAAAAUUUACCUAUUUUUGGGUCCUGUAGGAAGCAGCCUGACUGGCACAGGUGUGCCAAUCCAAGCACGCAGUCAUGUACUGGGUUCAAUAUGGAGAAGGUACAAUGAUACUGAAAAUGUUUUGCUGAACCAGAAUUCUAAAUGUAUGAAAGACCUAAGUAAUAGAAAUCAUGUCAUACACUUCAAAGUUAAAUACAAAAGCAUACUUCCUACCUGUCUGAUUUGCAACAUAGCUAAAUAAGUACUCUGCUUUUACAGGCUGCAAAGCAGAAAGUUGCCCAAAUCCCUCCUCCUCUGGUUUUGGGUUUUUUUUAAAGAAACAUUCCUGGACAAAAGAAUUAACAAGGGAAGAAACCUUGAGGAGCUAAAUGUAGUACAAACACACAUAUUAUAUGUCACUGGGAAAAUUAAAUAUUAUUAAAAAUAUAAUCUCUCUGGGGAAGUGUACAGAAGAUGAGUGUGCAGUAAUUAAAACCAGCGUGAGAAAAAUGGAAAGGUGUACUUGUGUAUAUGUGUAUAUACUAGUACAAAUGCAGGCAAGCACAUGAAAAACGUCAAACAAAACUUGCAUUUUUUAUUAGUGUUUUUUUUUAAUUUGUGAAAGAGCAAACAGUGCAAAGGAAUAGUCCAGUUGACAUGAUAACCUGGAAUAUCAGCUUGCACAAGCUCCCACCCUUUCCUGGCUGGAACCAGGAGAAUAUACAUACAUUUAAUAGGCAGUUUACAUUCCAUGUAUUUGCCUACUUGGAGCAAAGUCCAUUUUGCAGGUGGGCAGUUAAUAUGAGCUGUGUGAUGUCUAUUCAACACCAUUAAUUUUUUUCUGGAAGAAGUCUACGCUUCAAACAGGAGUGUGCAGAGGACAGUGAACUACCAGGUAAAAUGUCUGCUUCUACCCUUGGUCCUAUAACAUUUUAUCAUUCACUGUAAAAUAAGCACACAGGGACAAGAAUUAGUAUGAAAAGGAAAUUUCUUCUUACCUGUAAGCUUCAUCUAAUGACAUAUCCAUUCUCUUCAUGAUAUAGGCAAUAGCAAUUGUGGCAGAGCGAGAUAUCCCAGCUAAACAGUGCACUAACACAUGGCCAUUUGAUGCUUUUGCUUUUUCUACAUAGCAAAGAAAUUGGCAAGAGUCAAAGUCAGCAGCAUUUUACCAUGAUGAAAAGUUUGCAAAGAAAGCAAUGUUAUUUAAAAUUAUUCAAAACUUCCAAAUUAACUGCUAAUUACAAAUCUCAUGGAAGCUUUUAACAAAAAAAUCACUUCUUUUCUCCAGCACUGUACAGCACUAAGUAUAGAAAAAGCAUAACACACACAGGAGACAUACCACAGUUACAGUAUACCUCAAUUUAAUGUGCACAAAACCCACCCUAUUUAGAUGUCUGGGAAAGGUAAUUGUUUCUAAUUUUAUAUACAAGUAACAAGCAAGCAUUCAUGAUGGAACAAUUUGGCCAGUUCGAAUUCGGCUAGCUCACUUCUCACAGGACAGAAGCUGUAUGUCCAAAUUUCUAAUUCACUCUCUGCAGACAUAUAUUGGGAUUCUACCAGGCUGCCUGAAAGCAGAAUUGUGCUCUUAAGUGUUUUUGUUCUGUCAUGCUGGAAUGUGCAGUGGCAGAAUGUUACUUUGCUGUGUUAUUUUGCUUCUGUGCUUAUAAAGCGAUGCUGAUCAUGUA
Chiroxiphia lanceolata (lance-tailed manakin) is the source of this 9628-nucleotide RNA transcript. It is a transcript of the gene named BLOC-1 related complex subunit 5, with no coding region annotated. The record is from RefSeq and is a predicted model, not a curated record. Lineage: Eukaryota; Metazoa; Chordata; Aves; Passeriformes; Pipridae. The transcript has 6 exons.